UACGGGGGGGGCAAGCGUUGUUCGGAAUUACUGGGCGUAAAGGGCUCGUAGGUGGCCAACUAAGUCAGACGUGAAAUCCCUCGGCUUAACCGAGGAACUGCCUGCCAGACUGCAAGGCUCGAGACCGGGAGAGGUGAGUGGAAUUCCCAGUGUAGCGGUGAAAUGCGUAGAUAUUGGGAGGAACACCAGUGGCGAAGGCGGCUCACUGGACCGGAACUGACGCUGAGGCGCGAAAGCGUGGGGAGCAAACAGG
RNAcentral lists this ribosomal RNA (253 nucleotides) under uncultured bacterium. Its description in RNAcentral is "partial 16S ribosomal RNA". It matches the Rfam family "Bacterial small subunit ribosomal RNA", at positions 524 to 776 of the family's 1533-position model. The record is from RNAcentral.